This 465-nucleotide ribosomal RNA is filed under the name Vreelandella stevensii. RNAcentral's name for it is "partial 16S ribosomal RNA". It matches the Rfam family "Bacterial small subunit ribosomal RNA", at positions 338 to 795 of the family's 1533-position model. Lineage: Bacteria; Pseudomonadati; Pseudomonadota; Gammaproteobacteria; Oceanospirillales; Halomonadaceae. The record is from RNAcentral.
CCUACGGGUGGCAGCAGUGGGGAAUAUUGGACAAUGGGCGAAAGCCUGAUCCAGCCAUGCCGCGUGUGUGAAGAAGGCCUUCGGGUUGUAAAGCACUUUCAGUGGGGAAGAAAGCCUUGGGGCUAAUACCCUCGAGGAAGGACAUCACCCACAGAAGAAGCACCGGCUAACUCCGUGCCAGCAGCCGCGGUAAUACGGAGGGUGCGAGCGUUAAUCGGAAUUACUGGGCGUAAAGCGCGCGUAGGCGGUCUGAUAAGCCGGUUGGGAAAGCCCCGGGCUCAACCUGGGAACGGCAUCCGGAACUGUCAGGCUAGAGUGCAGGAGAGGAAGGUAGAAUUCCCGGUGUAGCGGUGAAAUGCGUAGAGAUCGGGAGGAAUACCAGUGGCGAAGGCGGCCUUCUGGACUGACACUGACGCUGAGGUGCGAAAGCGUGGGUAGCACACAGGAUUAGAUACCCCUGUAGUC